CUGGAGUCUCAUGGUUUUAUGCAGACACUGACCUUCGACCCAACCCUCCUGGCAGCGGAGCAGGGAAAGUUUGAAAUUCGGGUGCAAGGCCACAGGAAACGUAUCCCGUUAGUGUCAACACGAGAAAAUCUGUCAAGAGUAUUACUAUAAUUCGAUUGCCUGCCUUACGUGGCAGACAAAGGAAUUGGGAAAAACAGCUAAUACCUAACUCGCUGCUCAACGUCAUUAUUAUUCUGUCUGACAUGCGCGAGGCACCAAAACCAAAAUGAGCGGACGACGAUGGCGCGAUUCGAUUCGCCUCGACGGAAGCCGAUUGCAUGAGUCAGACUUGGAAACAGAGUGCGGAGUGCGGGAUGCUAAACAAUGCCUGCUACCGAGUCGAGCAACACCAAAACCGACAAUGGAACCGAGUACCAUGGAUGGAGGCCAUAGCACCAGCCUGUCACAGAUGAGAAGAUCCGCAUCCGUGUCUGAUCCAGCCUCCGAUGCAGCAUCCAGAAUGAUGCAGCCAGCUUUUUCUACGGGUGGUUGUCCAGCAUCCACCUUCGUCUCUUCUGACUGACCGUUGGAAUCCUUCUUGGCGGACGUUCGCGACCGGAGAAAACGAGAUGAAACGAGAUGAGAAAACGGGAUGGAACGGUCAUCAUCACACGUUUAUGGAACGCACCAGGAAAUAACGUCUGGGUGAGAAUUCUUCGAGAAAGUGCAGUUCCUGCCCACGCGGCUUUCUAACACACACUAGUACCGAUCCAUUGAUUUAUCCAUGACGCAACGAUGCUCAGUGGAAAUUCUUUUGCAGGAUCAUCAUUCAGUAUAUACGUAGUCAACGAUGUUCCAGAUCGAGCAUAUAAGACCCCAUGAUGUUUUUCACGUUUUCCACAGCGCGAGUCACCGGCAAGUUAAUUGAUUAUCUAAUAAUUAUCGCAAGCACGUAUUGCCCCCUGCAGGGUUGGAAUACCGAUACGAUACGAAGAAUGGAUAACAAAUGCCGCGUCUGAGAUACUGUUUGCGAAACGUUACGUAACUUACGUCGAAUUCUGACGCAGUUACGUUUCCACGUUACCGAUGGAAUUGG
Long non-coding RNA from Cephus cinctus (wheat stem sawfly), 1075 nucleotides. RefSeq lists it as uncharacterized. The transcript has 4 exons. Lineage: Eukaryota; Metazoa; Arthropoda; Insecta; Hymenoptera; Cephidae. The record is from RefSeq and is a predicted model, not a curated record.